AGAGUUUGAUCAUGGCUCAGAUUGAACGUUGGCGGCAGGCCUAAUACAUGCAAGUCGAGCGGAAACGAUGGGAGCUUGCUCUCAGGCGUCGAGCGGCGGACGGGUGAGUAACGCGUAGGAAUCUACCCAGUAGCGGGGGAUAGCCCGAGGAAACUCGGAUUAAUACCGCAUACGCCCCACGGGGGAAAGGCCGGGAUCUUCGGACCGGUCACUACUGGAGGAGCCUGCGUAGGAUUAGCUUGUUGGUGAGGUAAAGGCUCACCAAGGCUACGAUCCUUAGCUGGUCUGAGAGGACGAUCAGCCACACUGGAACUGAGACACGGUCCAGACUCCUACGGNAGNCAGCAGUAGGGAAUAUUGUGCAAUGGGCGAAANCCUGACACAGCCAUGCCGCGUGUGUGAAGAAGGCCCUAGGGUUG
Molecule: ribosomal RNA, 419 nt
Filed under: uncultured bacterium
Lineage: Bacteria
Description: bacterial SSU rRNA
Rfam family: Bacterial small subunit ribosomal RNA
Source: RNAcentral